This 68-nucleotide transfer RNA is filed under the name Tetrix japonica. RNAcentral's name for it is "tRNA-Ser". RNAcentral also lists the same sequence under 3 other names. Lineage: Eukaryota; Metazoa; Arthropoda; Insecta; Orthoptera; Tetrigidae. The record is from RNAcentral.
AGUUAAUAAGCUAUAACAGCAUAUGUUUUGAAAACAUAAUUCUAGAAGUUUAAAUCUUCUAUUAACUU